GAUGAACGCUGGCGGCGUGCCUAAUACAUGCAAGUCGGGCGAACGGACGAGAAGCUUGCUUCUCUGAUGUUAGCGGCGGACGGGUGAGUAACACGUGGAUAACCUACCUAUAAGACUGGGAUAACUUCGGGAAACCGUAGCUAAUACCGGAUAAUAUUUUGAACCGCAUGGUUCAAAAGUGAAAGACGGUCUUGCUGUCACUUAUAGAUGGAUCCGCGCUGCAUUAGCUAGUUGGUAAGGUAACGGCUUACCAAGGCAACGAUGCAUAGCCGACCUGAGAGGGUGAUCGGCCACACUGGAACUGAGACACGGUCCAGACUCCUACGGGAGGCGGCAGUAGGGAAUCUUCCGCAAUGGGCGAAAGCCUGACGGAGCAACGCCGCGUGAGUGAUGAAGGUCUUCGGAUCGUAAAACUCUGUUAUUAGGGAAGAACAUAUGUGUAAGUAACUGUGCACAUCUUGACGGUACCUAAUCAGAAAGCCACGGCUAACUACGUG
Molecule: ribosomal RNA, 497 nt
Filed under: uncultured bacterium
Lineage: Bacteria
Description: partial 16S ribosomal RNA
Rfam family: Bacterial small subunit ribosomal RNA
Source: RNAcentral